Molecule: ribosomal RNA, 496 nt
Filed under: uncultured bacterium
Lineage: Bacteria
Description: partial 16S ribosomal RNA
Rfam family: Bacterial small subunit ribosomal RNA
Source: RNAcentral
GAUGAACGCUGGCGGCGUGCCUAAUACAUGCAAGUCGAGCGAACGGACGAGAAGCUUGCUUCUCUGAUGUUAGCGGCGGACGGGUGAGUAACACGUGGAUAACCUACCUUUAGACCGGGAAAACUUCCGGAAACCGUAGCCUAAUCCGGAGAAAUUUUUGAACCGGCUUGGUUCAAAGUGAAAACAGGGUUUGCCGGCCCCUAUUGCAGGAUCCGCGCUGCAUUAGCUAGUUGGUAAGGUAACGGCUUACCAAGGCAACGAUGCAUAGCCGACCUGAGAGGGUGAUCGGCCACACUGGAACUGAGACACGGUCCAGACUCCUACGGGAGGCAGCAGUAGGGAAUCUUCCGCAAUGGGCGAAAGCCUGACGGAGCAACGCCGCGUGAGUGAUGAAGGUCUUCGGAUCGUAAAACUCUGUUAUUAGGGAAGAACAUAUGUGUAAGUAACUGUGCACAUCUUGACGGUACCUAAUCAGAAAGCCACGGCUAACUACGUG